CAAAGCAAUAAGUGGGCAAAGCAUACCGCCAUGGCACCACCCAGGCAAAGAUGAGUAUACGUAAAGGCAUAGGACACUGGUUUUCGGAGCAUGUUCAUUCCUCCCGAGCAAGUCCAACAAACCCAAUCUAAAGGCAUAGGACACUUGGCUUCAGAGUAUCAUCCUUCAUCGGCCCCCACCAGAUCCUAUCGGACAGCAACCCAGACGAGGACGAUGACCUCACUCAGCAAGAACCGGUGAUCCGCACGCCUCCGCCACCACCGAUUCGACGACGUCAUCGACCACAUCACUCCGGCCACCGCCGGCCCAGCCGUCCAGGCACAGUAGUCACAUCCCAAUAUCAGCGGCGCGUGCCAUGUCGGGCCGCCAUCAACCGCAGCCGCUGGGGCCGUUCAACCCUCCGGGACGCGUGCUGUUCCGUCUCUCGUUCAACGUCGACAACGCGACUGAGGAUGAUUUCGAUCGGUUCAUCCAGCAAGUGGAACAGGAGAUACUCAACCACAUGCGGAACCCGCGGUAUUGUGGGACGGCCGGCGCGGCAGUGCUGCCCUACUGUCGGCCAGUAGAGCAGCCGACGGGGAGGCGCGCGCCGGUGCAGCCUGUCCCGCGAGCCCAGCGGAGGCGCGUGGCGCCGGUGCUGCCCGUCCCGCGAUCCCAGCGGACGUGGUUCGUCAUCGUCCUCGAGACCCGGGACCGGGGGACGACGUACCGCGUGCCAUUCUUCAUCGAAGCCGAGACGGUGUACCUGCGCGGCUACCAGAACCAAGCGGGCAACCUGUUCGAGUUCGCCCCGGACAUCUCGCGCGACCACAACCUGCCGGCGAGAAGCUAUCUGGGCAACGCGGCCACCGCACUCUCUUUCAAUUGUAACUACGGCGAUAUAGUUCGUUCCACGGCCGAGAGAACUAGUUCCAGGGAGGACAGGAGGAGGGCCGGGGAUCCCGGCCUGAUUCUACAACCACUGCCAGCAGGGCCGCCGGCGCCAUGGGAGAGGCAGCGGCAGCAGCAGCAGCAGGGGGAGCGGCCGAGACGCAGCCCAAAUUUUGGGCAGGAACGGCUCAGGGUCGCCGUCAGGGAGCUGGCUCAGGCCAACAACGACAGCAGCCAGCACAGGACGGCGCAGAACUUGCUGCUCGUGAUCGUGCGGUUCUGCGAGUCUAUCCGGUUGCGGAACGUCAGGAGAGAGAUGGUGGAGCUCUGGACGGUGGAACCCAACAGCCGCGACCAGCAGCCGAGCCGUGGCCUCAGCGGCGCAGCUAUUCUUGUGAUAAACAACUGGAGCACACUGUCGCAGAACCUCUUGCGCCACGAGCGAAACCUGGGGCCCUGGCCGACGAACGGUGUUGCUGGAAUCGGCACUGCAGACGAGGCGCAGGGGAUAGUCGUCCUGGUACAGUUUAGCGGCGAUCCCAACGAGGCAGGCAACCGGACCCCGGAGUGGGUAAACGACGACAACGCCGACGGGCGGCAGGGCGGCCCUGGCGCCGGCAGGCCGGGGCCAUCGUGGGGCGCCGACGCUGCGGCGGUCACCCCGCCGCCCGUCAUCCUCGACUGGUACCUGGUGCCGGAGGAGCCUGCCACCGAGAUCUUGGGCGUGCUCGUCCCACAUCAGCAGAGCGGCGUCUACGGAAACAUCACCGUCACCGACUGCUUUGGUGCUCAGAGCGCGUACAGCCGCGACAGGGCCGGUUACCAACGCAGCUCCUCCGGCGAUUCCGCUGAGCUGAGACUGGAGCUCAAUGCUCUGAACCGCGCCAUCUCCGCGUACGGCUGCUUCUACAUCGACGUCGACCUCUGGAGCGCCUCCACGGGCCAGAUGCUGAGCAAGGGGCGCAUCUCAUGGAGCAGGUACAACUUCUGGACCAACCUGUGCGGCUACGUCCUGUACAAGACCAUCGGCCAGGCGCGCCUGGUCUACAUCGUCUACCGCAAGGCCGUGCAGGUCGCCGUGACCGUCACCGUCGACAACGGCGGCGACGACGACUUCGCCGGGGCCGGGGGGUCCUUCACCGCCACCAACACCCGGCUCACCAAGGUCCUCUACAACGAGCCCUUCCUCCCGCCGCCCGCGCGGCGCCCCAUGGUCCGCGCCGUCCGCUCUGACCGCGGCCCCCACGUCGUGCUCUACGGCGAGGACGUCGUCGCGGCGCCGCUGGAGGAGCUGCUCUCGGUCACGGUGUCCCUGCUCCCUCGCGGCGCCCGGCGGCGGGUGGCGGCCACCUUCGAGCUGGAGCCUACGGAGGCAAGCGGCAGCACCACCAAGACCAGCACCCUGCAGCAGGGCGGCACCGUGACGGUGAGCUUCGCCUGGAGCCUCCUUCCGAUGGGAUUGUCCAACUACUCCGCAGCUUCAGAUGGCCAGUGCCUUGCCUAACGGCCGGCCGGGAAAACAAAUCCUAUCACAUCGUCGUCCGGCUCCGAUCCGGCGUGCAUGCAUGAGUAGUAACACCCGCGGCGGAGGGCCUCAUCCCCGGCGCGAGCUCCCGGCGGCGGGCUUGCCGUCAAGCUCGGCGUGGAGGCAGGUGGCGGCGAGCUAUCCGCGGAUGGGUGGCCUCCGGUCGAUUCGCCCGGAGCCCCACAAGUCCACCCGCCGCACGCCCUCCGGUCGAUUCACACGGAGCCCCGCAAGUCCGCCCGCCGUGUGCCCUCCGGCGAGCGCGAGGACCGCGGGCGGAUGGGACGGGGAGGCGAGGAUGGAGGCGGCGAGCGUGGAGACGCGGCCGCGCGAGCACGGAGCCCUCGACAAAGACGUGCAGGACGAUGGAGAGGGCGGCCGGUGGAGAGCUCCAGAAACAGGAGCAACUGAGGCGCCAUGGCCGCGGGGAGAGGAGCAGAGGUGGAGCCUUGGAGGUGGUUGGAUCUGAGAAACAUGGGAUUGGGGGGCCCACUUGUUAGUAGGAGAAAGGGAUGGAGUGGAGGAGGGAUGGAUGGAGAAGCUGUUGGAUUUCUCACCUCUUGGAUAGUUAAACAGCUAGCUAAAUGGCUAGCUAAAUGAGAUUUGGCUAGUGUGAUUUAAAGAGACUCUUGGAGUUGCUCUAACCUCCAUUGUCCUUUGUCUCGAAAUAUUCUCCACGCGAGAAUCCAUGUCCUAAUGUAGUCGUGUACUUAACUAGCCAGCACGGCAGAUGCGCAGCGGAACCAGGACGUUUGCCGCCACUUCGAACUU
This is an RNA transcript of Panicum virgatum (switchgrass), 3166 nucleotides long. RefSeq lists it as uncharacterized. The record is from RefSeq and is a predicted model, not a curated record. NCBI's taxonomy places the organism in Eukaryota, Viridiplantae, Streptophyta, Magnoliopsida, Poales, Poaceae. The transcript has 5 exons.